CACCUCUAGCAUUACAAGUAUUAGAGGCAUUGCCUGCCCAGUGACUAUAGUUAAACGGCCGCGGUAUCCUGACCGUGCAAAGGUAGCAUAAUCAUUUGUUCCUUAAUUAGGGACUAGUAUGAAUGGCUAGACGAGGGAUCAACUGUCUCUUAUUUUUAAUCAGUGAAAUUGACCUUCCAGUGAAGAGGCUGGAAUACAAUAAUAAGACGAGAAGACCCUAUGGAGCUUAAAUUAACAAGCUUAAUUAUUACUUAAAUACCCUAAUGGAACAAAACAAAAAAACAUAAGCUUAAAAUUUUGGUUGGGGUGACCUCGGAGAACAAAAAAUCCUCCGAAAGAUAUAUAACAUAGACCUACAAGUCAAAGUAACUCAAUUAUCUUAUUGACCCAAAAAUUGAUCAACGGACCAAGUUACCCUAGGGAUAACAGCGCAAUCCUAUUUAAGAGUCCAUAUCGACAAUAGGGUUUACGACCUCGAUGUUGGAUCAGGACAUCCCAAUGGUGCAGAAGCUAUUAAUGGUUCGUUUGUUCAACG
RNAcentral lists this ribosomal RNA (535 nucleotides) under Hylomyscus pamfi. RNAcentral's name for it is "partial 16S ribosomal RNA". It matches the Rfam family "Bacterial large subunit ribosomal RNA", at positions 1816 to 2586 of the family's 2925-position model. The record is from RNAcentral. Lineage: Eukaryota; Metazoa; Chordata; Mammalia; Rodentia; Muridae.